Molecule: long non-coding RNA, 401 nt
Organism: Aquila chrysaetos chrysaetos
Lineage: Eukaryota; Metazoa; Chordata; Aves; Accipitriformes; Accipitridae
Exons: 2
Source: RefSeq, a predicted model, not a curated record
UCCUGCAUCCCACUGGGAGGCGGGGGGGAGUGAGUGAGUGGCUGCAUGGUGCUUAGUUGCUGGCUGGGGUUAGACAACGACAGUCCUCUUCACUGUGCUAAAAAUCAUCAUUACCAGGCUUCUGCCCAGGUCUGUUAUGCAAUGUUUCCCUAAUGUUGUUGUGCAAGGCUUUUGCUACAGCUUCCAUGCUGCCUAGUGCAUCCUUUCCAGGAUGAAAACGAGGGUGACGGAAGCAGUUGGGCUGUUAUUCCUGCCUCAGGCAACAUCUGUGGGACUGCUUUUGCUCAAGGACCUGGGUGCACUUGGUGGGUGAUCCAGAAGAAUGGGGAAGUCCAAUGUGAGCCUCAAGGGGAUUUGAUUGUGGUAAGAAUCACGCAGAUUAAUGAAGAAUGAAUUUUGAU